AUUCUAGAAGGUUAUUGCUAUAAUUAUGCUUGGUUAAUUAAUUAAUACUAAAUUUCAAACUAAAAUGUGUAGUCAAACAAGAAAAUGUUUACUAAAUAUUCUUCUGAAUAUUCAAUAAAGGGUAGACGACAGACCGGUUCAGUGUAACAAAAGUCAAUAAGUAACCACUUGGUAAAAAUAAUUUAAUUGUGACACCAGAUGAAAUCUGUGUAGCCUUUGGAAGAUUCGUGAAAUGUGUAAUAUAUGUACAGACAAAUUUUUUGACCCAUGGCCAGUAAAUAAAAGUGUUGGCCAUUCGUCAUUUUAUAAUUGCUCAACAUGUACUCCGUUAUCCAGAUGUCAAUAUCUGAGAAACCUAGGACCAAUCAAUGCAAUUGUUAUUCAAUAUUCCAAUGAGUCAGGAGUCAUAAUAUUAGAUGAAUAACUACAUCGAUUUUGCCACAUAUGUGACUUAACAGUUAACAUGUGGCUUAAAAAACACAUAUACCACAGGAUAUUUGAGGUGUGGUGUGGCAUGUGGUCUGACAUCCAAGGAUCAUUUCAGUUCUCUUCAUCUAUAGUCCUAACUUUAGUUAACUGAAGAAUUUUUGUACAAUAAUGCACGAUAAAAAGUUUGCAUCCAUUUGAAGAAUGUUCAAUGAGAUGAAUAUUUAAAACUGAACAUUCUGGACCUGAACAUGCAUUGUUACAUAGAAACAUGAAAUUCCAUGAAACAUAACUUCUUGCCUCAACAAGUGGAUAUCAUUGCAGCAAUUGAGAUCUACAAACACAUAAAUAAUAUCAUCAGAAUAGAAAGUAAGAAACCAUAAAACUUUAUAAAGUUUGGACACCAUUUCUUAAAAACAUAAAAAUCUGUUAAGCAGAUUAGAAGUUGUCAGUUUUAUUUUUUAAAUCAUAAAUCGUAAAAUUUACAACAGUGUCAGUUUAAGGUUUAUAACCUGCUGCUCCUCAAACAUUGGAGUAUGUUAUUACUGGGUUCAUUAAUAUACGUGCAAUGGUUUUUGGUUUCAGUUUAUUCAAACAGUUGCAGUGAUGGUUGUUAAUUUGUUAUAGCAUUUCCUUCAUAUUUCAAAAUUGCUAAAUGAAUUGUUCUUCUUAAACUCUUGAUGAUCACUAAAGAUAUGCCGUCACUUCCAAAAUGACGUUCUAUGGACAUAUAAUUUAGGCAAUUUGUUUCAU
This is a long non-coding RNA of Aethina tumida (small hive beetle), 1179 nucleotides long. RefSeq lists it as uncharacterized. Lineage: Eukaryota; Metazoa; Arthropoda; Insecta; Coleoptera; Nitidulidae. The transcript is spliced from 3 exons. The record is from RefSeq and is a predicted model, not a curated record.